This 253-nucleotide ribosomal RNA is filed under the name uncultured bacterium. Its description in RNAcentral is "partial 16S ribosomal RNA". It matches the Rfam family "Bacterial small subunit ribosomal RNA", at positions 524 to 776 of the family's 1533-position model. The record is from RNAcentral.
GACGAACCGUGCAAACGUUGUUCGGAAUCACUGGGCUUAAAGGGCGCGUAGGCGGGCCAGCCAGUCUGUGGUGAAAGCCCCCGGCUUAACCGGGGAAGUGCCGUGGAUACUGCUGGCCUCGAGGAGGGUAGGGGCACCUGGAACGGUCGGUGGAGCGGUGAAAUGCGUUGAUAUCGACCGGAACUCCGGUGGCGAAGGCGAGGUGCUGGGCCCUAUCUGACGCUGAUGCGCGAAAGCCAGGGGAGCAAACGGG